UAGUGAGGUGCCGUCAAGAGGUGUAAAUUUGAAAUAUCCCUAA
This 43-nucleotide ribosomal RNA is filed under the name Enterocytozoon bieneusi. RNAcentral describes it as "partial large subunit ribosomal RNA". The record is from RNAcentral. Lineage: Eukaryota; Fungi; Microsporidia; Enterocytozoonidae.